This 254-nucleotide ribosomal RNA is filed under the name uncultured bacterium. RNAcentral describes it as "partial 16S ribosomal RNA". It matches the Rfam family "Bacterial small subunit ribosomal RNA", at positions 524 to 776 of the family's 1533-position model. The record is from RNAcentral.
UACGUAGGGGGCGAGCGUUGUCCGGAUUUAUUGGGCGUAAAGAGCUCGUAGGCGGCUUGGCAAGUCUGGUGUGAAACCUCCAGGCUCAACCUGGAGACGCCACUCGAUACUGCUAUGGCUAGGGUCCGGUAGGGGACCACGGAAUUCCUGGUGUAGCGGUGAAAUGCGCAGAUAUCAGGAGGAACACCGGUGGCGAAGGCGGUGGUCUGGGCCGGCACUGACGCUGAGGAGCGAAAGCGUGGGUAGCAAACAGG